GGGGCCAUAGCUCAGCUGGGAGAGCGCCUGGAUCGCACCCAGGAGGUCGCCGGUUCGAGCCCGGCUGGCUCCA
Molecule: transfer RNA, 73 nt
Filed under: Actinomycetota bacterium
Lineage: Bacteria; Bacillati; Actinomycetota
Also listed under: 1 other name
Description: Actinobacteria bacterium tRNA-Ala
Rfam family: tRNA
About the family: Transfer RNA (tRNA) molecules are approximately 80 nucleotides in length. Their secondary structure includes four short double-helical elements and three loops (D, anti-codon, and T loops).
Source: RNAcentral